RNAcentral lists this ribosomal RNA (370 nucleotides) under uncultured organism. RNAcentral's name for it is "bacterial SSU rRNA". It matches the Rfam family "Bacterial small subunit ribosomal RNA", at positions 526 to 896 of the family's 1533-position model. The record is from RNAcentral.
CGUAGGGUGCAAGCGUUAAUCGGAAUUACUGGGCGUAAAGCGUGCGCAGGCGGUUAUGUAAGACAGAGGUGAAAUCCCCGGGCUCAACCUGGGAACUGCCUUUGUGACUGCAUAGCUAGAGUACGGUAGAGGGGGAUGGAAUUCCGCGUGUAGCAGUGAAAUGCGUAGAUAUGCGGAGGAACACCGAUGGCGAAGGCAAUCCCCUGGACCUGUACUGACGCUCAUGCACGAAAGCGUGGGAGCAAACAGGAUUAGAUACCCUGGUAGUCCACGCCCUAAACGAUGUCAACUGGUUGUUGGGUCUUUACCUGACUCAGUAACGAAGCUAACGCGUGAAGUUGACCGCCUGGGGAGUACGGCCGCAAGGUUG